Molecule: non-coding RNA, 54 nt
Organism: Salmo salar (Atlantic salmon)
Lineage: Eukaryota; Metazoa; Chordata; Actinopteri; Salmoniformes; Salmonidae
Source: Rfam
UGCAUUCACUACUGGAAUUCGCUCUGGAUAAGAGUGUCUGCUAAAUGACUAAAA